AGAGUUUGAUCCUGGCUCAGAAUGAACGCUGGCGGCGUGCCUAACACAUGCAAGUCGAGCGAGAAAGUGGCUUCGGCCAUGAGUACAGCGGCGGACGGGUGAGUAACGCGUGGGUAAUCUGCCUGGGAGUGGGGAAUAACCCGAGGAAACUUGGGCUAAUACCGCAUACGUCGUCGAGGCCUUGGCCUCGAUCAGAAAGGUAGCCUCUUCUUGAAAGCUGCCGCUCCUAGAGGAGCCCGCGUCCGAUUAGCUUGUUGGUGGGGUAAUGGCCUACCAAGGCUGCAAUCGGUAGCCGGCCUGAGAGGGUGAUCGGCCACACUGGAACUGAGACACGGUCCAGACUCCUACGGGAGGCAGCAGUGGGGAAUAUUGCGCAAUGGGCGAAAGCCUGACGCAGCAACGCCGCGUGGGGGAUGAAGGCCUUCGGGUCGUAAACCCCUGUCAGGUGGGGCGAAGGGGCAUUGGUUAAGAGCUGGUGUCCUUGACGGUACCACUAGAGGAAGCCCCGGCUAACUCCGUGCCAGCAGCCGCGGUAAUACGGGGGGGGCAAGCGUUAUUCGGAAUUAUUGGGCGUAAAGGGCGUGUAGGCGGCUUGAAAAGUCAAAGGUGAAAUCCCUCGGCUCAACCGGGGAACUGCCUUUGAAACUGUCAGGCUAGAGGCCGGGAGAGGGUAGCGGAAUUCCCAGUGUAGCGGUGAAAUGCGUAGAUAUUGGGAGGAACACCAGU
Molecule: ribosomal RNA, 726 nt
Filed under: uncultured bacterium
Lineage: Bacteria
Description: bacterial SSU rRNA
Rfam family: Bacterial small subunit ribosomal RNA
Source: RNAcentral